AACGAACGCUGGCGGCAUGCCUAACACAUGCAAGUCGAACGAUCCCUUCGGGGAUAGUGGCGCACGGGUGCGUAACGCGUGGGAACCUGCCCUUAGGUUCGGAAUAACUCAGAGAAAUUUGAGCUAAUACCGGAUAAUGUCUUCGGACCAAAGAUUUAUCGCCUUUGGAUGGGCCCGCGUUGGAUUAGCUGGUUGGUGGGGUAAAGGCCUACCAAGGCGACGAUCCAUAGCUGGUCUGAGAGGAUGAUCAGCCACACUGGGACUGAGACACGGCCCAGACUCCUACGGGAGGCAGCAGUGGGGAAUAUUGGACAAUGGGCGAAAGCCUGAUCCAGCAAUGCCUCGUGAGUGAUGAAGGCCUUAGGGUUGUAAAGCUCUUUUACCCGGGAUGAUAAUGACAGUACCGGGAGAAUAAGCCCCGGCUAACUCCGUG
Molecule: ribosomal RNA, 433 nt
Filed under: uncultured bacterium
Lineage: Bacteria
Description: partial 16S ribosomal RNA
Rfam family: Bacterial small subunit ribosomal RNA
Source: RNAcentral